CCGGGACAGGCUCACAUGUAAAGAGACCAAAAAAUCCCAAUCAACCGUGUGGUGCUUAGCAUGAAGCACUGGCUCUCACUUUUGGGAAUGCAGCAGGAAGCAGUCCUCUUUUAGGCUCUGCUUUUGAGUGUUGCUCCAUUCCCCCUCACCACCCAAAACAGGGAGAGGAAGGCACAAGUUAAAGAAAGCCCAUGGAAGUGCAGCAGUGGACACACCAGCACACUGCCCAAUUGCCUCGGGUAGGCAGCCAAGCAGUGGGAAGCAGGUUGGAUUUGCAGGAGGACAACAUGCAGGCCAGUGCUCAUGGCACCUGUGACGAUUAAUAUCAAAGGGUAUUAUUGCAACUUUUCCUCCUGACAUUCAAACCAAGCAAUUUCAGCGGCUGUCAGUCAAGCACAAGGAAGGGCAGGAGGUGAGGUCAGGUCUCCCUCGGAUCCAAGCGCUUUUUCUAUUUACAUUGACACAAGGAAGAGCUGAACAUGUAGUGAACACACAGGAAAUGUCAUCUCUGCUCAUAGACUUUUGCACGAAGGGUGAGACCUGAAUAUUGAUCUCUUCUUCCAGGCUGGAAGGUCUGGAAGAAGGUCUGGGCUCUGCAGGUCCGUGAGCUCAGGGGCUCACAGUGUCUGCCUGUGGGGUGUAAUGCCAAUGACCGUGGCUUUGGGAUCCCAAACACGGCCCCAUCUUCUCCUCUCUUUCCUUCCUCAACUCAAAAAGUUAACACAUUCCACAACUGGGAAUGAAAGCCCCUUUAGGUACUGAGCAGAGCACAGACAGCACACGGUAUCAGCACGAGGCAUCAUUUCUCCAGCAGCCCAGGGAAUCUGAACACUCAAGUGGCAGAUUAAUUUCAAUGCAAACUGAUCGGAGAUGAGGAGAUAACCGCACUGGUUAUUUUGUGGGCAAACAGCACUUCCUUUACAGCCUCAAUCUCAAAAUACUUUCCCUUUGUUGUGCCAUCGCUGCCUCAAACACAAAUUCAAAAGAAGCUCAAAUAAGUCCAUAUUUCUCCAGGAGCAAUUUGCACAAACCCUGUGUUUUCUGUGUUUACUUCGUUUGCCAAAAUUAGAAGUGAAAGCCAGAGCAGCAGGAUGGGAGACACUCCCCUGGUUGGAAUUACUUCCACUUUUCCUCGAGGGUUCUUACUGACAG
Molecule: long non-coding RNA, 1152 nt
Filed under: Numida meleagris (helmeted guineafowl)
Lineage: Eukaryota; Metazoa; Chordata; Aves; Galliformes; Numididae
Description: lncRNA (ENSNMEG00000012254.1)
Source: RNAcentral